UGUAAGCGUAUACCAAAGUUGUUGCAGUUAAAACGCUCGUAGUCGGAAUUUGGCAGUUCCGGAUGUGUGCACGUCGUGUGCGCACUUCGCGGGGAUUGCUUUUGUGGUCUUGCGUAGGAUGAGGCACUUUUAUUAGUGAACGUCCUCACGCAACCACUUUUUACUGUGAGAAAAUCAGAGUGCUCAAAGCAGGCAUUUGCCGUGAAUGUAUUAGCAUGGAAUAAUAGAAUAGGACUCGGUUCUAUUUUGUUGGUUUGUUGGGGCUGAGUAAUGAUUAAGAGGGACAGUUGGGGGCAUUUGUAUUUCGGCGCUAGAGGUGAAAUUCUUAGAUUGCCGAGAGACAAACUGCUGCGAAAGCGUCUGCCAAGGAUGUUUUCAUUGA
Molecule: ribosomal RNA, 382 nt
Filed under: uncultured eukaryote
Lineage: Eukaryota
Description: partial 18S ribosomal RNA
Rfam family: Eukaryotic small subunit ribosomal RNA
Source: RNAcentral